This 697-nucleotide ribosomal RNA is filed under the name uncultured bacterium. RNAcentral's name for it is "bacterial SSU rRNA". It matches the Rfam family "Bacterial small subunit ribosomal RNA", at positions 54 to 750 of the family's 1533-position model. The record is from RNAcentral.
CAUGCAAGUCGAACGGAGAUCAUUUGGUAGAAGUUUUCGGAUGGACAUCGAGUGAUCUUAGUGGCGAACGGGUGAGUAACGCGUGAGCAAUCUGCCUCAGAGUGGGGGACAACAGUUGGAAACGACUGCUAAUACCGCAUAAGCCCACAGCACCGCAUGGUGCAGGGGGAAAAGAUUUAUUGCUUUGAGAUGAGCUCGCGUCCAAUUAGCUAGUUGGUGAGGUAACGGCCCACCAAGGCGACGAUUGGUAGCCGGACUGAGAGGUUGAACGGCCACAUUGGGACUGAGAUACGGCCCAGACUCCUACGGGAGGCAGCAGUGGGGAAUAUUGCACAAUGGGGGGAACCCUGAUGCAGCGACGCCGCGUGGAGGAAGAAGGUCUUCGGAUUGUAAACUCCUGUUGUUAGGGACGAUAAUGACGGUACCUAACAAGGAAGCACCGGCUAACUACGUGCCAGCAGCCGCGGUAAAACGUAGGGUGCAAGCGUUGUCCGGAAUUACUGGGUGUAAAGGGAGCGCAGGCGGGCAUGCAAGUUGGAAGUGAAAACUAUGGGCUCAACCCAUAGCUUGCUUUCAAAACUGCGUGUCUUGAGUAGUGCAGAGGUAGGCGGAAUUCCCGGUGUAGCGGUGGAAUGCGUAGAUAUCGGGAGGAACACCAGUGGCGAAGGCGGCCUACUGGGCACCAACUGACGCUGAG